AAUCCAAGAAAUUUUAGAUCUAACAAAAAAAAUAACAAAAAAAAAAGAGAAAAAAACCAACACAAGGCACCAAUUUGGCAAAUUUAACGCACCAAGUGUAUCUACUAAUACAAAUAAAAAAGAAUUAAGCAAUCCUUUAGAAUUAAAAAUUCUAAGUAAGAAUAGCUCUUUGUUAAUUUUUGCAGAAGUUCUAUGUGAUAUCAAAAAGUAUCUUUUAGAAUUUGAUGCAUCUUUUAUAAUUGUGAAAGUAAAUGAGUUAAUUGUCAUUAAUCUAAAGCUUUGAAUUGACUUAUAUUUA
This 298-nucleotide long non-coding RNA is filed under the name Coffea arabica (coffee). Its description in RNAcentral is "long non-coding RNA (CARA_LNC007492)". The record is from RNAcentral. Lineage: Eukaryota; Viridiplantae; Streptophyta; Magnoliopsida; Gentianales; Rubiaceae.